AGAGGAAGCACCCCGCCAGAUAUUAACUUAAUACGUAAUGAUCAAGAUGAAAACAGAAACUUUUACUAAUUUAAACUUCCCUUGCAGAGAGAAAAGUCUAUAACAAUAUCUAUUGGUGUAGAAACUUGUAACAAAUUUGAUUGGUUAGGACAAGAAGAUACUUCUACUCAAUAAUAAAGGCCACCGCGUAUUUGUUCUUGCCUAGAUUAUGCAACCAAACUUACGAUAAACAACUUCAGUUUAGUCAACUUGACCUUUUCCUUCUUUUUGUUGUUAAUUUAUUUUCUUUGCUGCUUCUGUCUAUAUAUAUCUCAUUCUCCAGCUUUCUUCAAAUAGCUUCAAAGCAAUAUCAAUUGAAAACCAGCUUUCUUCUAUAUCUCUUUCUCCAGCUUUCUUCCAAUAUCUUCUAUACAGCCCUCUUUUUCAAGCUCUGAUUAAAGAGAAAACCAAUCAAGACUCCUGAAGAUGGUUGAUGCCUUUGUGUCAUUUGCAGUUGAAAAACUGGGUGACUUUCUCAUACAAGAAGUUGCAUUGCGCAUAAGUCUGAGAGAGGAUGUGCAGUGGCUGAGAAAUGAGCUGCUCUUCAUGCAAUCUCUCCUCAAAGAUGCAGAACAAAAGCAAGUUGAAGAUAAAAGAGUUCAACAAUGGGUAUUUGAAAUCAACUCUAUUGCUAAUGACACUGUCGCUAUACUGGAGACUUAUAUCUCCAUGGCAGGAGAAUCUGAUGACCAUGGAUUUGCUAGUCGUCUUAAGGCUUGCGCUUGCAUAUGUAGGAAGGAGACCAAAUUCUACAACAUCAGCAAGGAGAUCCAAUCCCUCAAGAAGCGAGUCAUGGAUAUCUCUCGCAAACGGGAGACGUAUGGUAUUAGAGACACCAACAAUGCAGGAGAAGGGACAAGUAAUCAGUCCGCCAUGGUCAGAACAUUGAGGAGAACUACCUCCUAUAUAGAUGACGAUCAUAUUUUUGUUGGCUUUCGGGAUGUUGUAGAAAGCUUGCUAGCUGAACUUCUCAAAGCAGAGCCUCGCCGAAGUGUCAUCUCCAUUUAUGGUAUGGGCGGGUUAGGCAAGACCACUCUUGCAAGAAACCUCUACAACUCUCCUAAUGUAGUCUCUAGCUUCCAAACACGCACUUGGAUAUGUGUUUCUCAAGAGUACAACACCAUGGAUCUCCUUAGGAAUAUCAUAAAAUCUAUCCAAGGUCGUACAAAGGAAAGUCUGGAUUUGUUGGAAAAGCUGACAGAGACGGAUCUAGAAAUUCACCUUCGGGGCCUAUUGGAAGAACGCAAAUACCUUGUGGUUAUUGAUGAUGUAUGGCAGAGAGAGGCAUGGGAAAGUUUGAAAAGAGCCUUCCCAGAUAGCAAGAAUGGCAGCAAAGUUAUUAUUACCACACGCAAGGAGGAUGUUGCUAAAAGAGCAGAUGACAAAGGUUUUGUCUAUAAACUUCGUUUCCUUAGCAAAGAAGAGAGUUGGGACCUCUUUUGCAGGAAACUACUUGAUGUUCAGGCAAUGGUCCCAGAAAUGGGAACGCUAGCUAGAGAUAUGGUGGACAAGUGUGGAGGCUUACCUCUUGCAAUUGUUGUAUUAAGCGGGCUACUUUCGCAUAAAAGGGGGCNNNNNNNNNNNNNNNNNNNNNNNNNCAUAGUUGCUUUGUAUUCAAGACCUCUGCAACUUAGCAAACUCACAAGUCUUCAAGUUCUUAAAUACAGUUGUUGUGAUCAGUGGAGAGAUGUUGAUCCCGUUGAUUUAGUGAAUCUUCAAGAAUUAGGCAUGUAUGAUAUUAUGAAUACUUACUCCCUAAAUAACAUUGGCAGCUUGAAAAACCUUAGCUCUCUCAUGUUGCGUUGUAAAGUUGAUGAAUCAUUCCCAACCCUUGAAUAUCUUCGUUCUUGUCAAAAGCUCGACAAAUUGUGGUUAGAGGGGAGAAUAGAAAAAUUGGACCAUUUUCCAAAUUCCAUCACAAUGAUGGUCCUUUGGAAGUCAGAACUCAUGGAGGAUCCCAUGCCUAUUUUGGGAAUGUUGCCAAAUCUAAGGGAUCUUGAUUUAGUAGGAGCUUAUGAAGGAAAAGAAAUUACCUGCAGUAAUAACAGCUUUUAUCAACUAGAAUUUC
Molecule: long non-coding RNA, 2107 nt
Filed under: Nicotiana tabacum (common tobacco)
Lineage: Eukaryota; Viridiplantae; Streptophyta; Magnoliopsida; Solanales; Solanaceae
Description: long non-coding RNA (NTAB_LNC013764)
Source: RNAcentral